RNAcentral lists this long non-coding RNA (1586 nucleotides) under Sus scrofa (pig). RNAcentral's name for it is "lncRNA (ENSSSCG00030033496.1)". The record is from RNAcentral. Lineage: Eukaryota; Metazoa; Chordata; Mammalia; Artiodactyla; Suidae.
UUAAUAGGCCCCCUUGCAGAGAGGUGGAGCAAGUGACACAGUUCUGGCCAGUGAGAGGAAAACAUACAUGCCCUGAAUGGAGUUGCCAGAAAAGCUAUUAUUUUCCUGAUAAAAGGGACAGUCUUAGCUGUCCCUUUCCCCUUAACCUUUCCUCCCACCUGGAAUGGAAAUGGAACACCUAGAAGUAGAGAGGAAAUUUGGUUAGCACGAGGGCAAAAUCCACCUGGUAAAGACGGUGCAGGAAAAAGACAGAAGGAGGAGUUCCUCCUACGGCACAGCGGGAUUGGUGACAUCUUUACAGCUUCUGGAUGCAGGUUCCAUCUGCGGCCUGGCACAGUGGCUAAAGAUCCGGCAUUGCCACAGCUGCAGCGUAGGUCACAACUUCGGCUUGGAUCUGACCCAGGCCAGGAAAUGCCAUAGGAUGCAGGGCAGCCAAAAAAAAAAAAAAAAAAGAGGAAGAACCCUGAUCCUGGGUAGCAUCUUGGAGCUUCUCACAGACCCAGGACUGCCUGUCUCUGCAUUUCCUGUUAAGAUAAAUGUAUCUCUUAACGGUUUAAAUUACGAAUUGCAUAAUUUCCUGUUUUGUUUAUUUUGUUUUUCAGCCCAAAUUCACCUUCGGUGACGCAACCUUUAACUUCAGAGCUGCUUCUUGGAACACAGAGUUUUCUCCCCUCCCCAUUCUCCCAUAAAACAGGCAUUUUACAUCCUCUCAGAAGAAAUGUUUUGACUCUCUUGGUCCCCUGUUACUGGUUCCUCACUGUGAGAAGAGGCAGGACCUCUGAGCUUGGCGGGGUUGAGAAAAGGUGUCAGGUGUGCUUUGCUCAGCCUGUUCUUGGCUCUCUCUUUGGGACUGAUCGAACUACAAGCAACAUGUGCCUCCUCCCCUGCUCGGAAGGCCUUCAAUAGUCCAGCUGCUCUGCGUUGACCAUCUCUUCCUCUGGGCUUCUGAACGAGGCCCCAGCCAGGCUCCUCUGUGUCUCCCGCAGAUCUCUGAGGCUAAGCCCACACCCAUAUCCCAGGCUAGGGGUCAAAUCGGAGCUGUAGCUGCCAACCAAGGCCACAGCCACAGCUACACGGGAUCUGAGCCUCAUCUGCGACCUAUACCACAGCUCAUGGCAAUGUUGGAUCCUUUUUUUUUUUUUAAUGAAUUUUAUUACAUUUAUAGUUGUACAACUAUCAUCAUAAAAAGCUGGAUCCUUAACCCACUGAGCAAGGACAAGGAUCGAACCCUCAUCCUCAUGGACACUAGUUGGGUUCAUUACUGCGGAGCCUCAGUGGGAACUUCUGUUUUCUGAUCUUUUAUUCCCUGCGCAUGAAGAAUUCACUUUCCUUUCCCUCUUCUGUCAUACUCCACCCCCUUCCCAGAAGAUAGGAAAACCAGAGAGAUGGAAAGCGGGGGAACAGUGAUGCCCGCAGGACACACGUGCAGGCAGGACAUGCGCACGCGCGCCUCCGACCCCAGCCUGUCCGGCUGGAAAUCCCGCCCCUUCCCCCCGCCCCCAGCCCUGUCCCGCCGCUUCCUCCUGGGUCAGAAGGGCCCUGAUGAGGCAGGCGGAGGGGUGGGGGUGCAGGUGAGGGCUCCACAG